This 332-nucleotide unclassified non-coding RNA is filed under the name soil metagenome. RNAcentral describes it as "partial contains 5.8S ribosomal RNA, internal transcribed spacer 2, and large subunit ribosomal RNA". The stretch from base 1 to 120 matches the Rfam family "5.8S ribosomal RNA", at positions 35 to 154 of the family's 154-position model. The record is from RNAcentral.
GAUGAAGAACGCAGCGAAAUGCGAUACGUAAUGUGAAUUGCAGAUUUCAGUGAAUCAUCGAAUCUUUGAACGCACAUUGCGCCCGCUAGUAUUCUGGCGGGCAUGCCUGUUCGAGCGUCAUUUCAACCAUCAAGCCCUAGGCUUGCGUUGGAGCCCUGCGGCUGCCGCAGGCUCCCAAAUCCAGUGGCGGGCUCGUCGUCGUACCGAGUGCAGUAAACAUCUUCGCUCAGGGAACGUGACGGGUUCUUGCCGUGAAACCCCCCACAUAUCAAGGUUGACCUCGGAUCAGGUAGGAAUACCCGCUGAACUUAAGCAUAUCAAUAAGCGGAGGA